Molecule: ribosomal RNA, 465 nt
Filed under: uncultured bacterium
Lineage: Bacteria
Description: bacterial SSU rRNA
Rfam family: Bacterial small subunit ribosomal RNA
Source: RNAcentral
CCUACGGGAUGCACCAGUGGGGAAUAUUGCACAAUGGGCGCAAGCCUGAUGCAGCCAUGCCGCGUGUAUGAAGAAGGCCUUCGGGUUGUAAAGUACUUUCAGCGGGGAGGAAGGUGUUGUGGUUAAUAACAGCAGCAAUUGACGUUACCCGCAGAAGAAGCACCGGCUAACUCCGUGCCAGCAGCCGCGGUAAUACGGAGGGUGCAAGCGUUAAUCGGAAUUACUGGGCGUAAAGCGCACGCAGGCGGUCUGUCAAGUCGGAUGUGAAAUCCCCGGGCUCAACCUGGGAACUGCAUUCGAAACUGGCAGGCUGGAGUCUUGUAGAGGGGGGUAGAAUUCCAGGUGUAGCGGUGAAAUGCGUAGAGAUCUGGUGGAAUACCGGUGGCGAAGGCGGCCCCCUGGACAAAGACUGACGCUCAGGUGCGAGAGCGUGGGGAGCAAACAGGAUUAGAUACCCCUGUAGUC